Manacus vitellinus (golden-collared manakin) is the source of this 461-nucleotide long non-coding RNA. RefSeq lists it as uncharacterized. NCBI's taxonomy places the organism in Eukaryota, Metazoa, Chordata, Aves, Passeriformes, Pipridae. The record is from RefSeq and is a predicted model, not a curated record. The transcript is spliced from 2 exons.
CCUGGCUCAGCCAGGACUGAGGGAGUUAAACUCCUUGGGAGUUUUCCAGUCAACCUCAUCGCCUUUUCCCACCGUGGGGGAGGAGGAGUGAUGAGAAACUGGCUGGACCCUGCAGCAGCAGCGAAUUGGACCAGUGAAUCCGAGAACAGAGAGAGAGAGAGAGAGAGAGAGAUUCAGUUGGACUCAUUUCCAGGAAGAAAGAAGAAUUCUAGCUGCAACAGAGCAAAACUGCUGUCUUAAAAAUAAGAGACACCAGUGCUGCAGAAAAUUAAUUUGGAAGAGCUGUGACCUGAAAGUGAAAAGAGGACUUCUCCUUUCUUUCUGGACUCUUUUUUGAAGGAAAGGAAAGAUGAUCUAUGUAUAUCUAUUGUUUCACUAUAGAAGAGAUAGUUAAAAUUGUUAUAUAUAUUUAUAUAUGUAUAUGUUAAUAAUAAACUGUAAUAUAUUCCCUUCCCCCUAUA